CUGGCAGAGCAAUCGUGCUGGAGACAGAAAACUCAAUCAAAGGAUUUGAGACUUCACUGCAGAACAGAAGGAACAGGAACUGAGGAAUUCUGAGCCCAGACCAGCAUUCAGUUGUGUACUCAAGAUAUCUCUUCACCUGUGUCCUUGACCAAAACCUGUUGCUGUUACCCGGUAAAUUCCCAGUUUUGACAUCAGCAGCACAGUGUGAAUCUGCAGUAAUAUCCCAAACCAAAUACUCUGACUUGUAAGAGAAACUUUUGCUUUUACAACCUCUGUUCCACCCUACCUUACUUGACUGUCUGAAUUUCCCCAUAACACCGUUUAGAAAAUGCCAUUUUAAAGCUGCUUUUAACAGUAA
Molecule: long non-coding RNA, 358 nt
Organism: Pipra filicauda (Wire-tailed manakin)
Lineage: Eukaryota; Metazoa; Chordata; Aves; Passeriformes; Pipridae
Exons: 3
Source: RefSeq, a predicted model, not a curated record